CAGCGCCCGUGCCGUUUGAAUAUCAAAUGCAUCUGCGCCCAUCUGUGUGCCAAUGGGCGUGCUGGUCUUACAGGGAGGUGUGUUCAGGUGCAUUCUUGUCGUAUUGCUAUCUUGAAGCAGCAGGAAGUGAUCA
This is a long non-coding RNA of Etheostoma spectabile (orangethroat darter), 133 nucleotides long. RefSeq lists it as uncharacterized. The record is from RefSeq and is a predicted model, not a curated record. NCBI's taxonomy places the organism in Eukaryota, Metazoa, Chordata, Actinopteri, Perciformes, Percidae. The transcript is spliced from 2 exons.